Molecule: non-coding RNA, 107 nt
Organism: Nicotiana attenuata
Lineage: Eukaryota; Viridiplantae; Streptophyta; Magnoliopsida; Solanales; Solanaceae
Source: Rfam
UGGCUAUGGUGGGGGUAAUCUUUGAGCAGCUUCUUAAAUCUCUCCCAAGCUUGACGAAGAGUUUCACCUUUUUUCUGUUGAAACCCAAAAAUUCAGCUUCUCGGAGA